GACGAACGCUGGCGGCGUGCCUAACACAUGCAAGUCGAACGGAAAGGCCCUGAGUUUGUGGGGUGCUCGAUUGCCGAACGGGUGAGUGACACGUGUGUAACCUGCCCUUGACUUUGGGGUAACUUCAGGAAACUGGGGCUAAUACCGGAUAGGAGCUCCUGCUGCAUGGUGGGCGUUGGAAAGUUUCGGCGGUAGGGGAUGGACUGGCGGCUUAUCAGCUUGUUAGUGGGGUAGGUGCUGACCAAGUCUUUGAAGGGUAGCCGGCCUGAGAGGGUGGACGGCGACAAUACGCCUACGGGACGCAGCAGUCGGGUAUGGGAGGCAGCAGGGGGAAGUCUGGCACAGUGAGCGCGCGCGAGAGACGACAGCGCCGGGUGCGUAAAGACCGCUUUUGGGGUAAGAACCGCUGUCGCCUGUGACGAAGCGUGAGUGACGGUAAUGAAUAAAGAAGCACCGGCUAACUACGUG
This 468-nucleotide ribosomal RNA is filed under the name uncultured bacterium. Its description in RNAcentral is "partial 16S ribosomal RNA". It matches the Rfam family "Bacterial small subunit ribosomal RNA", at positions 28 to 507 of the family's 1533-position model. The record is from RNAcentral.